UACAGAGACUGCAAGCGUUAUUCGGAUUCACUGGGCGUAAAGGGUGCGCAGGCGGUUGGGUGUGUCAGAUGUGAAAUCCCGAGGCUUAACCUCGGAACUGCGUCUGAAACUACUCGACUAGAGUACUGGAGAGGGAAACGGAAUUCACGGUGUAGCAGUGAAAUGACGUAGAUAUCGUGAGGAACACCAGAGGCGAAGGCGGUUUCCUGGACAGUUACUG
Molecule: ribosomal RNA, 220 nt
Filed under: uncultured bacterium
Lineage: Bacteria
Description: partial 16S ribosomal RNA
Rfam family: Bacterial small subunit ribosomal RNA
Source: RNAcentral